UUCCGGGGUUCUGGCUGCAUGGUGGGAGUUCCUGUGCACCCUUAUUACCUUUUACCACCAGAUGGCGACAGGUUCCGGCUGGAGUGCGGUGCAUUAUUAUCCGCAGCUGUUCGUGAUCAUCCUCAUCAGCGGCGCAGACUUAAGGAGUUGGCCGCCAGUCCAGCGUCGCCUGAGUGUUAGCCAGUCACGGUGAUCCUUUGAUGAGAUCCCGGUUGAAUUCCUGGCUUUUGAACCAUCCUCGUGACGCCGUGGAAAGUAUCCACAGGUUGCCCGAGUUCCCAGACUUACCUCUCCGUUGUUUUGGCAAUUAUCUCCUGGACCCCACGGCUGGCGGCCAUACCACUCCUCCGUCUCCCCGCUGCUCUCGUGCCUACCUGUCCGCUGCCCACCGCACUCCUCCGUUGUUCCUGGACCCACCAAGAACCGAGACCCCGGACAUACUCGGUUUCCCCUCCAAGACUCUGUUCAUCAGCAACAAUGAACCAUUGUUGCCGUCCCUGUUUUUGCCCCUGGACCAGACCAUCCUGAUUCUCACUGAUAAUUGUGUGAUCUUUAUUAAAUCAUUUAACACUGA
Molecule: long non-coding RNA, 574 nt
Organism: Xiphophorus hellerii (green swordtail)
Lineage: Eukaryota; Metazoa; Chordata; Actinopteri; Cyprinodontiformes; Poeciliidae
Exons: 3
Source: RefSeq, a predicted model, not a curated record